CCUACGGGGGGCAGCAGUGGGGAAUAUUGGACAAUGGGGGGAACCCUGAUCCAGCGACGCCGCGUGAGUGAAGAAGUAUUUCGGUAUGUAAAGCUCUAUCAGCAGGGAAGAAAGAAAUGACGGUACCUGACUAAGAAGCUCCGGCUAACUACGUGCCAGCAGCCGCGGUACUACGUAGGGGGCAAGCGUUAUCCGGAUUUACUGGGUGUAAAGGGAGCGUAGACGGCGAUGCAAGUCUGAAGUGAAAGGCGGGGGCCCAACCCCCGGACUGCUUUGGAAACUGUAUGGCUGGAGUGCAGGAGAGGUAAGUAGAAUUCCUGGUGUAGCGGUGAAAUGCGUAGAUAUUAGGAGGAACACCAGUGGCGAAGGCGGCUUACUGGACUGUAACUGACGUUGAGGCUCGAAAGCGUGGGGAGCAAACAGGAUUAGAUACCCGAGUAGUC
RNAcentral lists this ribosomal RNA (443 nucleotides) under uncultured bacterium. RNAcentral's name for it is "partial 16S ribosomal RNA". It matches the Rfam family "Bacterial small subunit ribosomal RNA", at positions 338 to 795 of the family's 1533-position model. The record is from RNAcentral.